CUAGUAAUCGCAGAUCAGCAUGCUGCGGUGAAUACGUUCCCGGGCCUUGUACACACCGCCCGUCAAACCAUGAGAGUUGGCAACACCCGAAGUCGGUAGUCUAACCGCAAGGAGGACGCCGCCGAAGGUGGGGUUGAUGAUUAGGGUUAAGUCGUAACAAGGUAUC
Molecule: ribosomal RNA, 166 nt
Filed under: uncultured bacterium
Lineage: Bacteria
Description: partial 16S ribosomal RNA
Rfam family: Bacterial small subunit ribosomal RNA
Source: RNAcentral